UAUUGCUGGAAAUAUAUUGAAGGAAAAUUACAAGAAGAGUCGUCAUUUCAAGGUGUUUCACGGACGUAUUGGUAUGUGGAUGUUGACAAUGUCGGACGACAUCAAAGUUGACACGAGAAGUUGGAGUGAAGAUGAGACGAGCCUGCGACCUGCCUACUCUUGCUGCUAUGCUGCUGCCGCUGCUGUUGCAUCCAUAGAAAUUGGCUGUUACAGAUUUACUGACCAGAUAAAGGAAGUUCCCGCUGAUGCAGACCCAGUUGUUGGGUACCCAGCCACCUAUGCACAUUGACACAGCCAGCAGCGGGCACCUAUUGGGAUGGACCCAGGAGGAUGACC
Long non-coding RNA from Engraulis encrasicolus (European anchovy), 336 nucleotides. RefSeq lists it as uncharacterized. The record is from RefSeq and is a predicted model, not a curated record. The transcript has 3 exons. NCBI's taxonomy places the organism in Eukaryota, Metazoa, Chordata, Actinopteri, Clupeiformes, Engraulidae.